GAUGAACGCUGGCGGCGUGCCUAACACAUGCAAGUCGAACGAAAGGACGAGACGCUUGCUGUGCUGAUGUUAGCGGAGGACGGGUGAGUCACACGUGGAUAACCUACCUAAAAGAGUGGGAUAACUACGGGAAACCGGAGAUAAUACCGGAUAAUAUUUUGAACCGCAUGGUUCAAAAGUGAAAGACGGUGUUGCUGUCACUAAUAGAUGGAUCUGCGCUGAAUUAGCUAGUAGGUAGGGUAACGGCCUACCAAGGCAACUAUGCAUAGACGACCUGUUAGGCGGGUCGGCGACCUGGGAACUGAAACGCCCUCCAGACUCCUACGGUAGGCAGCAGUAGGCAACGGUCCGCAAUGGGCGGAAGUCUUGCGGAGUGGCGGCGCGUGUGUGAUGGAGGUCUUCGGAUCGUAAAGCUGUGUUAUGAGUUGUAAACAGAUUUGUAAGUUGCUGUGCACUGCGUGACGGUACUUAAUCAGAAAGCCACGGCUAACUACGUG
RNAcentral lists this ribosomal RNA (497 nucleotides) under uncultured bacterium. RNAcentral describes it as "partial 16S ribosomal RNA". It matches the Rfam family "Bacterial small subunit ribosomal RNA", at positions 28 to 507 of the family's 1533-position model. The record is from RNAcentral.